UGGCGGGGCCGGUGCGCCUCGGCGCGGCCCCUCCCGCGGACACGGUCCCCGUGAGGCUCGGGGAUCCCCGGAGCUGCCCCCGCGUGCCCCGGCCGGGCUGCGCCGCGGCGUGUCCGCUGGGUUGUGCAAGGCUGGUGUAUUAAUAGCCACGCAGACGGGAGAAGUGCCCGUGACUAAGGCCGUGGGCUCAGAUUCCUUUUUCCAAGCCGGGAGCGGGCAGCUCAGAGUAACCCAGCCGUGACGCACCGCUCCCCCUCCCCGGGCCGCGGCUGCCCGGAGUUUCCCGGCGGCAGCGGGGGCUAUAAGAACGGGGGGCGGUGCGGGGACGGCAGCGCUGGAGCCCGCCUGCAGCCCCGCACACACCGAGGCUGUGCCGCCGGACAUGAGGGUCCCCGUUCCAUCUCCUCCAGGGCUGACUUCGACUCCAUGUCUCCCCAGGGAACACUCAGGGAUGAGAGCAGGCACGAACUGUGGGCAUGCUGUCCACAGAGUCUGCUUCCAUGGGUAGAGCCCACAGGCCAGCUGGGAGAUCCAGGAUGGACACUUUGCUGAUGCUUCACCUCUCUCCCUGGUGCACCGUUUCCCCGCAGGCGCCGGAGGAAGCCCCAGCACAGCAGUGACGGCCUCACCAGCAGCCCUGCUUGGGGAGGAAGUGGGAAGGAGAGGACUUAGGAGGUCAGCAGCAAGGUCAUCUGCAUCCCAGCUGGGGUGGGACACUCCUGCCGGUGAGGAAGAGGAGCUCUGCUCUUCCAGUCCUCGGAGGAGUGUUUCAUGGUUGGGAGGUACCAAAUAACUCCCGUAAAAUGCUGUCCCAGCUACACUCUGCUUCACAUUGCCACUGGGACAGGAACUUUGGUAUUCCUGCAAUGUCCUUACUGUCUGUCUUGUCCAAAACAACAGAAUAAACAAUACCAAGUCUA
This is a long non-coding RNA of Colius striatus (speckled mousebird), 920 nucleotides long. RefSeq lists it as uncharacterized. Lineage: Eukaryota; Metazoa; Chordata; Aves; Coliiformes; Coliidae. The record is from RefSeq and is a predicted model, not a curated record. The transcript is spliced from 3 exons.